Cordylochernes scorpioides is the source of this 73-nucleotide non-coding RNA. Lineage: Eukaryota; Metazoa; Arthropoda; Arachnida; Pseudoscorpiones; Chernetidae. The record is from the annotation of a GenBank genome assembly.
GUCCAGGAGCGGGAAUCGAACGUACAACCUUCUGCUUACCGGGCAGGUGCCAUGCCCACUAGGCUAUCCUGGA